Molecule: long non-coding RNA, 1133 nt
Filed under: Mus pahari (shrew mouse)
Lineage: Eukaryota; Metazoa; Chordata; Mammalia; Rodentia; Muridae
Description: lncRNA (MGP_PahariEiJ_G0006349.1)
Source: RNAcentral
ACCUAAACCAACUGAUUUCCUCAGGGAGACCAACAUCUCAUGCAAACCACAGCAGCCUGCAAAAGCCAGGCUUCAUUCUCGGUGUGUGUGUGUCCAGGAUCUUUCAUGGACCCAGAGAGGUGGUGAGGGUCUUUACUGCCUUACCGCUGGUAUUUGUCACAGAAGCAGAAGCGAAGACCUCACAUCUGCUGCACGUAAAGGCUAUGCUGUGGUGCCAUGCUAUGACUUAUAUGUGCCAUAGCAUGCAGAGAAUGAAUAUUUGGUUAAGGACCAAGACACCUUGCAGAAGAAAGAGUAUACAGUUCCAGAGUGGUGAACAUUCAUGGUGACAGAGUUGAAGCCUGAAGCACGGCAACAAGUGACAGGCAUGACUACACAAGGAGGAAGCUGAGAGCUCACACUCGACAAAACAGAGAACUCGAACUGGAAUGUAAACUGAAGACCAGAAGCUGACCUUUGGAGAUAUUUAGUCCAGUGGACUGAGCAGCUGCUGCACUCUCAGUAUCUUCAACGUGAGACAGCCAUGUCAGAAAACCCAACGCAUAUCAUUUUCAGGCUCUGAUGUCACUGUCUGGCCUAAGGCUCCUACAUGCAGUGGUGCUACUGAAUAUGAACUCACAUAAGUGUACACAAACACAUAAAAACAAAAAGAUAAAGUUUCACAAAAAAACAUUCAUACCACAGCAUGGAUGUUUCUCGCUGCACUUGGACAGAUUUUCAGUGGAAAGAACAGAAAGCAGAACAAAAGGAAGCAAUAGGCACCUGUAUUGAAGUUCUGACAACAGAAGAAGUUGGCCAUCUCAUUUCUAUCUCGCAUGCCAAGCCUUUUCUACUCUCCUGGAAGAUGACCCCAGCACAUCAAGGGCAAGAGAAUGAAGAUACAGAACAUUCCACUGCAAUCAUGUCCGAGAAUGAUUACAAUAUCCAUUCGGGUACCAUCCUUGUCCCCUUUCACAUGGUGAAACUGGUAGCGGAGAGAAGCUGCAGUCAAGACAAGCUCACACAGACAGUGCACCCCAAGAAGAGAGCCAGGGCUCCAGGAAAGAGAGCUGUGUCGCUCUCCCAUCCUACCCCGCAAGCAAUUGGAUGCCAGGAUCUCACAUCUCCAAACCUAAGCCUGAAGCAGAGGCAGC